AGAGUUUGAUCCUGGCUCAGGACGAACUUUGGCGGCGUGCUUAACACAUGCAAGUCGAACGAGAAUCUGUGGAAAGAGGAUUCGUCCAAUUGAAGCAGAGGACAGUGGCGGACGGGUGAGUAACGCGUGAGGAACCUGCCUUUCAGAGGGGGACAACAGUUGGAAACGACUGCUAAUACCGCAUGACACAUUGAGGUCGCAUGGCCUUAAUGUCAAAGAUUUAUCGCUGAAAGAUGGCCUCGCGUCUGAUUAGCUAGUUGGUGAGGUAACGGCCCACCAAGGCGACGAUCAGUAGCCGGACUGAGAGGUUGAACGGCCACAUUGGGACUGAGAUACGGCCCAGACUCCUACGGGAGGCAGCAGUGGGGAAUAUUGGGCAAUGGGCGCAAGCCUGACCCAGCAACGCCGCGUGAAGGAAGAAGGCUUUCGGGUUGUAAACUUCUUUUGUCAGGGACGAGUAGAAGACGGUACCUGACGAAUAAGCCACGGCUAACUACGUGCCAGCAGCCGCGGUAAUACGUAGGUGGCAAGCGUUGUCCGGAUUUACUGGGUGUAAAGGGCGUGUAGCCGGGAGGGCAAGUCAGAUGUGAAAUCCACGGGCUUAACUCGUGAACUGCAUUUGAAACUGUUCUUCUUGAGUAUCGGAGAGGCAAUCGGAAUUCCUAGUGUAGCGGUGAAAUGCGUAGAUAUUAGGAGGAACACCAGUGGCGAAGGCGGAUUGCUGGACGACAACUGACGGUGAGGCGCGAAAGCGUGGGGAGCAAACAGGAUUAGAUACCCUGGUAGUCCACGCUGUAAACGAUGAAUACUAGGUGUGCGGGGACUGACCCCCUGCGUGCCGCAGUUAACACAAUAAGUAUUCCACCUGGGGAGUACGAUCGCAAGGUUGAAACUCAAAGGAAUUGACGGGGGCCCGCACAAGCGGUGGAUUAUGUGGUUUAAUUCGAAGCAACGCGAAGAACCUUACCAGGGCUUGACAUCCUGCUAACGAGAUAGAGAUAUGUUAGGUGCCCUUCGGGGAAAGUAGAGACAGGUGGUGCAUGGUUGUCGUCAGCUCGUGUCGUGAGAUGUUGGGUUAAGUCCCGCAACGAGCGCAACCCCUGUUCUUAGUAGCCAGCACGUAGUGGUGGGCACUCUAGGGAGACUGCCAGGGUGAACCUGGAGGAAGGUGGGGAUGACGUCAAAUCAUCAUGCCCCUUAUGACUUGGGCUACACACGUGCUACAAUGGCGUAAACAAAGGGAAGCGAGAGCGUGAGUUUGAGCAAAUCCCAAAAAUAACGUCUCAGUUCGGAUUGUAGUCUGCAACUCGACUACAUGAAGCUGGAAUCGCUAGUAAUCGCGAAUCAGAAUGUCGCGGUGAAUACGUUCCCGGGUCUUGCACACACCGCCCGUCA
RNAcentral lists this ribosomal RNA (1395 nucleotides) under synthetic construct. RNAcentral's name for it is "bacterial SSU rRNA". It matches the Rfam family "Bacterial small subunit ribosomal RNA". The record is from RNAcentral. RNAcentral also lists the same sequence under 1 other name.